AAGGAUCAUUACUGAGACUGGGUGCUUCGGCGCCCGACCUCCAACCCCCUGUCUACCUUACCACUGUUGCCUCGGCGUCUCCGCCCGCCUCCCUCUCGCAGGGGGUGCUGGGCGCUGCGCCGGCGGCCAAAAACACAAAACCCUUUUUCAAACCAAGCAAUCUGAGAAAUUAUUUAAUAACUUCAAAACUUUCAACAACGGAUCUCUUGGUUCUGGCAUCGAUGAAGAACGCAGCGAAAUGCGAUAAGUAAUGUGAAUUGCAGAAUUCAGUGAAUCAUCGAAUCUUUGAACGCACAUUGCGCCCUCUGGUAUUCCGGAGGGCAUGCCUGUUCGAGCGUCAUUAUCAACCAUCAAGCUCUGCUUGGAAUUGAGCGUCACCCCCCCUCACCGGGUGGGCGCGCUUUAAACCGGUCGGCGGUGGCUCAGGCCUCUUAAGCGUUAGUAAUACUUCCCGCUUCUGGAGACUGUGGUCGCCCGCCUCCAAAACCCAACACCUCAAGGUUGACCUCGGAUCAGGUAGGGAUACCCGCUGAACUUAA
This 539-nucleotide ribosomal RNA is filed under the name Phaeococcomyces sp. DTO 301-H5. RNAcentral's name for it is "eukaryotic LSU rRNA". The stretch from base 187 to 340 matches the Rfam family "5.8S ribosomal RNA". RNAcentral also lists the same sequence under 1 other name. The record is from RNAcentral. Lineage: Eukaryota; Fungi; Ascomycota; Arthoniomycetes; Lichenostigmatales; Phaeococcomycetaceae.